Molecule: long non-coding RNA, 1271 nt
Organism: Haliotis rubra (blacklip abalone)
Lineage: Eukaryota; Metazoa; Mollusca; Gastropoda; Lepetellida; Haliotidae
Exons: 3
Source: RefSeq, a predicted model, not a curated record
AUUAUUUACAGACUAGUGCCAUAUGGCUGGAAUAUUGCUGAGUGCAGCGUUAAACAACAAACAAACAAACAUACCAUUAUUUCCGUGUGGUUAGAAUAUACUACUACUGACUAUAGAUAAUCUAUCACAACCAGAUUGUUUUUGUGAUAUAUCAACUACAGUAAUGUGAACAAAAUAUCUGUUUGUAUCUUCUUUUUUCGAAGUAUAUCAAAAUGAUGAACACUAUAUAUUAUUUUGUGAAUAAAAAUAUAAGAUAUUUCCCAAAAUGUCUCAAAAAUAAAUUGUAAACUUUGCACAGUGGUUAAUAAGUUUUCCUCCGUUAUAAAAUGCAGACAACUUCUCUAAAUUUUCUGUUGCAAAUUUAAUAUCUACAUUUUAUUACAACUCUUUCUCUCAGCCUUCUCAUCAGUGGACUCCUUAGGUAUAUGUGUGAUAAAAAAGGUGAUGGGUUUGAAAAUAAUUCAAAUUCUAAGGAUGUUUAAUAAAAAUCUUCUGCCAAUACAAGGAAGCCAAAAAUUUUUUCAAUUUUGGGUGCUGCAUAUCAUAAUUUCCUUUUUUAGAUAUUAACCCAGUCAGAUCAUAAUGCACUCCUUUAAGUUAUGUAAACAUUUCAUGGUGAGCUGGUACAGGUGAAACAGAAGUGUCAGGAAGAGCUUACAUUUUAUUUAUUUUUUUAAGUUCAGGGUAUUGUUCAUUUCAUGAUAAACUGCUGACUUGGUUGACACAUGUCGUCGUAUCCCAGUUGCGUAGAUAAAUGCUCAUGCUGUUGAUGACUGGAUUGUCUGGUCCAGAUUUGAUUAUUUACAGACCACCGCCAUAUAGCUGGAAUAUUGCUGAGUGCGGCGUUAAACAACAACCGACCAACCAAUCAACCCUCAUGAAGAACUCUGUUGAGAUGAAAGCUCUCAUAUUUGUGAAACAGAUAUGAUAUCACCUUGGACUGCAAUGAAGUCAUCAUACAGCAGAGAACUAUAUGCUUGAACUGACCAGGUGCACAGAAUGUUGAAAAAAAACACACACUACUAAACCAAUUUGUUCUGGUACUUAUAUAUCAGUUCAAAAGUUAAUAAACAUGGUCUCCAUUUCAUCAGGUCAAAUGUCACAUUUGCAAAUUUGGGAUUGACCAAAAAAUAAAAAUAUUAAGAAACAUAUUCAUUCUUCAUGAAUAGUCCUGGAGAAUGCCAGACUGCAAACACAAGUAACAUUUUUCAUUUAUUAGGAUUGCUGUUCACACUUGUCAGUCCAGAAGUUGUCCUUCUUCAUGGGGGAAC